GACAGAGGGUGCAAACGUUGUUCGGAAUUACUGGGCGUAAAGCGCGUGUAGGCGGCUAAGUAAGUCGGGCGUGAAAUCCCACGGCUCAACCGUGGAAGUGCACUCGAAACUGCAUAGCUAGAGUCCUGGAGAGGAAGGUGGAAUGCUUGGUGUAGAGGUGAAAUUCGUAGAUAUCAAGCGGAACACCGGUGGCGAAGGCGGCCUUCUGGACAGUGACUGACGCUGAGACGGCGAAAGCGUGGGGAGCGAACAGG
RNAcentral lists this ribosomal RNA (254 nucleotides) under uncultured bacterium. Its description in RNAcentral is "partial 16S ribosomal RNA". It matches the Rfam family "Bacterial small subunit ribosomal RNA", at positions 524 to 776 of the family's 1533-position model. The record is from RNAcentral.